AUUGAACGCUGGCGGCAUGCUUUACACAUGCAAGUCGAACGGUAACAGGUUAAGCUGACGAGUGGCGAACGGGUGAGUAAUGCAUCGGAACGUGCCCGAUCGUGGGGGAUAACGCAGCGAAAGCUGCGCUAAUACCGCAUACGAUCUGAGGAUGAAAGCGGGGGACCGUAAGGCCUCGCGCGAUCGGAGCGGCCGAUGUCAGAUUAGGUAGUUGGUGGGGUAAAGCCUCACCAAGCCGACGAUCUGUAGCUGGUCUGAGAGGACGACCAGCCAAAAUGGGACUGAGACACGGCCCAGAGUCCUACGGGAGGCAGCAGUGGGGAAUUUUGGAGAAUGGGCGAAAGCCUGAUCCAGCAAUGCCGCGUGCAGGAAGAAGGCCUUCGGGUUGUAAAAUGCUUUUGUACGGAGCGAAAGGGCUCUCUCUAAUACAGGGGGCUCAUGACGGUACCGUAAGAAUAAGCACCGGCUAACUACGUGCCAGCCGCCGCGGUAA
RNAcentral lists this ribosomal RNA (493 nucleotides) under uncultured bacterium. Its description in RNAcentral is "partial 16S ribosomal RNA". It matches the Rfam family "Bacterial small subunit ribosomal RNA", at positions 29 to 523 of the family's 1533-position model. The record is from RNAcentral.